UAAGACGAACCGUGCGAACGUUAUUCGGAAUCACUGGGCUUAAAGCGCGUGUAGGCGGGACGGCACGUCGGUCGCUGAAAGCCCCCGGCUCAACCGGGGAAGGGGCGCCGAUACGACCGUCCUCGAGGGACGUAGGGGGACCUGGAACUUCCGGUGGAGCGGUGAAAUGCGUUGAGAUCGGAAGGAACGCCCGUGGCGAAAGCGAGGUCCUGGACGUUUACUGACGCUGAGACGCGAAAGCCAGGGGAGCGAACGGGAUUAGAUACCCCGGUAGUCCUGGCCGUAAACGAUGGGCACUGGGUAGGGGGCUCGCCGAUGGGCUCCCUGUCGUAGGGAAACCGUGAAGUGCCCCGCCUGGGGAGUAUGGUCGCAAGGCUG
RNAcentral lists this ribosomal RNA (378 nucleotides) under uncultured bacterium. RNAcentral describes it as "bacterial SSU rRNA". It matches the Rfam family "Bacterial small subunit ribosomal RNA", at positions 521 to 896 of the family's 1533-position model. The record is from RNAcentral.